Molecule: long non-coding RNA, 968 nt
Filed under: Homo sapiens (human)
Lineage: Eukaryota; Metazoa; Chordata; Mammalia; Primates; Hominidae
Description: long non-coding RNA NONHSAT131636.2
Source: RNAcentral
GUGAAGAGCUGGGUCCUGCAGCUCCGGCGGGAGCCUCCUCAGUUCUUUUCGGACGCACUCCACCCCCGCGAAUCCGGUGGAAGCCGUGAUGCGGAGAGCCGGCUUCGUGGCCUCCCAGGCUUCGCUCUGACCCUGUCUGGGCUGGAUGGAGGCCGGACCGCCCUUCCUGGCGCCUGUGCAGAGAGGGGCAGCCUCCUGCGCGGACGACCCUGGAAACAGGAUAGACGGGCGGGUGACCCGUGACCCCGUACCCACGAGUUUGGGUCCCUUGAGGCAUCUCUCCAGGCCUCUGCCUGAUUUGCCUGAGGUUGACUGUACAUGCAAAUAUUGAGCUUUCCUCCUGGCCUCCGUGAUAAACAGAAGUUUUGAUAUUGUUAGGCGAGAUGGAAAGAAAGUAUCAAGGAGUGAGCUGAAGCCACUGCCCUUGAGAACCCUCUCGAGGAGUCUGGCCUCAUGAAGAUGCCAGAAUAAAUGGCAGUAAGAAGAAAAAGAGCAAAGAUAAGAAGAGAAAAAGAGAAGAUGAAGAAACCCAGCUUGAUAUGUUGGAAUCUGGUGAACAGUAACAAACUUUGGUGAAAUUUCAGGAACCAUAGCCAUUGAAGUGGAUGAGGGAACCUAUAUACAUGCACUCAACAAUGGUCUUUUUACCCUGGGAGCUCCACACAAAGAAGAAUCGCCCUGAAACCUGGCUAUGGAAAAUAUCUUAGUAUAAAUUCAGAUGAACUUGUUGUUGGCGUUCAGAUGCAAUUGGACCAAGAGAACAAUGGGAACCAGUCUUUCAAAAUGGUGCCUGUGCAGCAGUAUUCACUGUGAUAGGAAGUGAGAAGCAGUCUGAGUGUUCAUUGCUGAGGGAAUCAAGGGCAAAAUAUCAUGGAUGCACUCAUGGACAAAUAAGCAGCAGUUUGAAGCAACACCCUAGAUGGAUGUACAGCCAUCAAGAGGAUCUUAAAGUGUGGUCUUUAGUGGAA